CACGUAGGCACCAAGCGUUGUCCGGAUUUAUUGGGCGUAAAGAGCUCGUAGGUGGUGCCCUAAGUCUGUUGUGAAAUCUCCCGGCUUAACUGGGAGGGUGCGGUGGAAACUGGGGUGCUUGAGUGUGGGAGAGGUAAGCGGAAUUCCUGGUGUAGCGGUGAAAUGCGUAGAUAUCAGGAGGAACACCGGUGGUGUAGACGGCUUACUGGACCACGACUGACACUGAGGCACGAAAGCGUGGGUAGCAAACAGG
RNAcentral lists this ribosomal RNA (253 nucleotides) under uncultured bacterium. Its description in RNAcentral is "partial 16S ribosomal RNA". It matches the Rfam family "Bacterial small subunit ribosomal RNA", at positions 524 to 776 of the family's 1533-position model. The record is from RNAcentral.